Molecule: non-coding RNA, 7227 nt
Organism: Callithrix jacchus (white-tufted-ear marmoset)
Lineage: Eukaryota; Metazoa; Chordata; Mammalia; Primates; Cebidae
Source: RefSeq, a predicted model, not a curated record
ACUGAAGCCUAGAAACAAAUGCGUAGCGCCCUGAAGGGCGGACAUAGAGUUUGAUUUCGGAACGGAAGUCCAAGGUUUGGGUUCCCACCCGGACAGGAGUGGCGGAGACUCUUGCGCAGGCGCAGUGACCAGAGUCUCGAUCUUGUCACCCAGGCUGGAGUGCAGUGGCACAAUCUCAGCUCGCUGCAACUUGUGCCUCGUGAGUUCAAACAAUUCUCCUGCCUCAGCCUCCCAAGUAGCCGGGAUUACAGGCACCCACCACCACACCCAGAGCCGGAUUGCACCGUCUUGGCCGAGUCCUGGGAGAGCAGCAGCCUCCAGCGCCUCCGCUGUGCUCGGCCAAGUGGAACCCCUGAACAAAUGCCCUCGAGAGUGGCCCGGCCCGGCUGGCUGCAGUUGGAGACACAGCGCCAUCUAGUGGAAGAAAGAAAAAAGGCCCCCCCCCCGUCGCUUUUUUCUUUUUGAAAAUUAGUGGAGAAACCUUGAAAUGGACUUAGAAUCAACCGUCCUCGUUUGAUACCAAAGGAGCUUGAGGCCAGAGCAAAUCCAGAGAAGGAUAUGGAUUUCCUGAAUGUCACACAGCCAGCCAGUGGCAGCUUUGACGCUACAGAACCUCAUCGUUUGAGACGCAGUUCAGCAGUCUUGGUACCCUGCCACGGUGAGGAAACCAGAAGGUGAAAAAGCUAAUUUCGGUUGAGUGGCAUUUCAGAGCUCCACUGAGGUGGAGGUGAACAUAUGCUGGGGGCUGAUGUCUAAAGAGAAGUUGUCAGUUAUUUACCAUUCUAUAGAAUGCCUUGGCUGGACUCUUCAGUGAUGGGUGCAGGGCUAGAGAACAUUCAGUUGUCUGCCCUGCCCCUUACACCCCAAUCUGCCCUGAAACUCAGCACAGGAUAAGACUGUGUAAAUUACACUGGUUUAGGGAGCAGGAGAUGCCACAGAGGGUCACUUGUGCCCUGAAGGUAGAGAAGGGAAUGAGAGUUUACUGGAUAUCUGCCCCAGCCUUUCCUGUCCCCUUUUCCUUGCUAAGGAAAAAUUUGAGCCUCUGAUCUCAGUUCUGCCUCCUUCUCCUGCUUCUAAGAAACUUCUACAACUCUAGGUUUUUGAUCUGGAGAUCCCAGAUGAGGGGUGGGGCCAGCACCCUUGUUUUCUGCUCUCUGGAGCCUGCCGUGACCUGCAUGAAACAGGACUGCUGUGAGGAACUGCACAGUACUUGGACUUUUCAGCCAAUCUACAGCUAAAAGGCAGAUCCACUGAGUAGACUGUUACCCACGAUUGUGGAGGGGGAAUGCACGCUGCAUUAUUCAGUGUCAGUUUCAGGGGUGGAGGGAAAGGUUAAAACCAAUGCCUAACUUCAUUCCUUCAAAAGAAAAUCCUAAAUGUUGACUUGAAACAUAUGGCUAUGCUUAGGGAUAAAUCGUAGUCGAGUUUCUCAUGGCUAUCCUAAAACAGCAAAAGGAUCUCUGGGCUGCAUUCUCUUCCUUCAGAGCCUGGGCCUGCCCUUGACUCUCAGACCAUCAUCCCAUCAGGAAGGACCAGCCCAUCUUGCCUUAAGCCAAAGAUUGCUGGCAGAGUCUCAAGCUGUACAUGUGAAUAUGAAGGAAGGGUGCACGGCUAACCUUUAAACUCACUCCUUUGAUUUAAUUUCUUUAAAAAAGCUGAUUUAAGCAAGGGGAACUUUGAAUGCCCUUUGCUUUUCUAGCCCAGGGAAUCUGACUCAGGGACCUUUGUGGACUGGAAUGUCCUGAACUGGCCAAGACUUGAGAAAAACCUCAGGUGCCCAGGGCACUGGCUGAGUCACGGUGCAGCAUCACAUGGCCUGGUUUGCCCCAGGUUUGCCCCAGGUUUGCCCCAAGAUGCCCCUAAACAGAGAGCUGGCCCCUCUCCAGGUCCUGCUUCACCUGGUUCUAUCUCUUCUCCAGGGUCACUGUCCUGCCAUCCAAAAUGCAUUCUCCUCCAACUCACUUGGUUAAAAUGGCUUGGUUGCAGUGCCCGGGAGCCUGUUGAGAUGUAGAUGCGUACACAGCUCAGCUUUCCAGGUCAACACAUCCUGGAAAAGGGGUUGUAAAGAAUAUCUUCAUGAUGCAGACCAUAUUUCCCCACAGAAACACUGUCAUAACUGUGGUGCACUUCCACCCAGAGACCUGGCACCCAGGGCAUCCCCGUGAUAUCCCCAGCAUAUCCUAAAAGCUAGUAUGUCCUGAAAGCUCUGAGAUCAUUUAUCAGAAGAACUCUCUGACAAGCCUUUCGCCCUUCAUGCUGGCAGGGCCCUUAUCUCAUGACUCAGUGUCUUGCACUGAGCUGCCCCUCCCCAGCCACACGUGCAGGAGCCCCUUUCCCUCCUCUCUUGGCCUUGAUCUUGAGGCUGUUAGCCCGCUAGUCAUUCUGCGUUGGCUGGUUCUUCUCUUUUCCUCCCUCAUUUCCUUUCAUUAAAAGACUUUUGAACAAUUCACAAUUUCAUAUGCCUUUCCAUCCCUGCAACUCCCACAUUGACAGAAUCCACCCUGUGAUGAGCCCCAGACUGUCAUAACAGCAACCCUCCACACAUGACUAAGCCCAGGGAACCCCCAUGUAACACACAUCCGGGGCGUCACACGGCCUGAAGAUACCUCAAUCCACUACGCCUUAAGGGGAAAGGCUAGCUAAGUGGAGCAUUCCUUUUCCCCAAAGAUGUUUAUUGAGUUCUUUCCAUGUGUCAGCACUUUCCAAGGCACGUAGGAGGCAGCUGCGAGUAAAACAGACAGGCCAGGUGUGGUAGCUCACACUUGUAAUCCCAGCACUUUGGGAGGUCAAGGUGGGAGGAUCACUUGAGCUUAGGUUCGAAACCAGCCUGGGCAACAUAGAGAGAUCCCAUUUCUACUAAAAAUAAAAAAAAUGAGCCAGGCAUGGUGGUGUGCACCUGUAGUCCCAGCUACUCAGAAGGCUGAGGUGGGAGGAUUGCUUGAGCCCUCAACCUGAUCACAUUGCAGCCUCAACCUCUAUCACACCACUGCACUCCAGCUGAGUGACAGAGUGAGACCCUAUCUCAAACAACAAAAACGAAAACACAGAUUUGAAAGUUUUGCUUAUAUGAAGCUCUAGAGGGGAAGCUAUAAAUGGCAUUUGUCCAAUGAGCAGAAAGACUUGGGAGUCAGGAAGUGUGAGGAGCUAGCCUAGAUGCCUCCAUGCUGAGUAGAGGCUAAGUCACUCCCUCUCUGAUCCAGUCUCCUCAUGUGGAAAAUGAAAAGACUGGACUUGGUCACAUAGAAGGGCUCUCCACUGUGACCCACUGAGGGCACUUCAAUUCAUGACCCUAUAGACUCUUGUACUAUAGACUCUUAGACUUCUCAGCCAAGAGACUGGAGCUCCCCUGCCUCUCCUUCGGUGUAACAUUCGAGCCAACUCCCCUCUCUGCCCCCACGAUUCUUUCCUGCUUUGCUCAUUCUUUGGCCUUAAGAAAGAGAGAGAUCACAUCUCCAUCAGUUUCACCUGCUCGCCUUCCCCUCUUAUUCCCCUUGUACCUCCCACUCUCCAUUUUUAUAUGGUCGCAAACAUUUUUCAAGAACAGUUUUAAGUGGCCCCUUCUUCGAAGAUGGCUUUUGUGGGUGGAAUGCCUCUUUGGGGUCACUGUGAUGCCUUUGGGGGCAUCUGUUCCCUUAAGCAUGCCCAAGGAAGCAGUGGACAGAUCCGCAGGAGGAAUUCAUACAGUUGGUGCAACAGAACCACUGGAAAACAAUUAACAGGCUGAACACCAGAGUAAGGACGGUGGCCAAAGAACAGGCACCCCGUGGUAAACAAUUACCAGUGUGUCAGGGACGCCAACAUAGGUCAGCUGUCAGCCAGGAAAUCGUUUCACAAGUGUAAAAUGUGGAUCUUGCGGAAGUGGAAUUUAGGGAAAGCGUUGUUUUGUUUUGUUUUCUUUAUUUGGGAGGAUGACCACCUGGUCGCCCUGCAGCUCCCCUUGGUUUCUGAGACAGCUGGUCUUGGCAUCCACCUCUCCUCCAAAAGAAAGUGGCUCAGAGGCCUUUCUAAUUUUGACCUUCUGGCUAAUGAUCACGAUGGACAAGGCCAGUUCCUGCUUUAUGGACCGGGUCUGGGCUCCUGACAGUAUGCAGCAUUGUAUGUCCACAUUUUGAGAGACACCGAAUCUUUUUUUUUUUUUUUUGGCAUGGAAGUAGUGGGUUCUUUCUUGUUUGUUUAUUUUUUGAGAAUACACAACUUUGCAUCUAUGGUACUUGUGAAGAUUUUAUGUUUUACCCGAGUAUCUAGGGAACCUGGAGUUAAGGUCAGUGUCCAGGCUUUAAGGACUAUCCUGGAAGGGAUUUGGUCAGCAGGAACAGGACACUUUGGGGUUCAGAUCUGGUCUAGAGACUCAGGUCCCUAUGAGCCACUGUGACAUUUAACCUAACUUGGCAUGGGCACAGGCUCUUUGAGUUUUCAAAGUGUUUCUGUGUUUCUUCUGUCUCUGUUCCUCAGAACAGUUUUGGAAAGCAGGCAGGGCAGGUGUGAACAUCUUUGCAUGCUGGAUAAGGCUCAACAAGGCUAAAGCUUUUUUUUUUUUUUAAAGACGGAGUCUCGCUCUAUCACCCAGGCUGGAGUGCACUGGGGCGGUCUCUGCUCACUGCAACCUCCACCUCCUGGGUUCACGCGAUUCUCCUGCCUCAGCCUCCUAAGUAGCUGGGAUUACAGACGUGUGCCACCAUGCCUGGCUAAUUUAUGUGUUUCUAGUAGAGAUGGGAUUUCACCAUGUUGGCAGGCUGGUCUUGAACUCCUGCCCUUGUGAUCUGCCGGCCUCAGCCUCCCAAAGUGCUGGGAUUACAGGCAUGAGCUGCACCUGGCCAAGAAAGGCUAAAGCUUGUACAUGGCAGUCAAGACUGGAGUAAGAUCUCCUAGUAUGGAUGUCAGGAGUCUUUUCCCCAGACAAUAGUGUGAUUAGGUGGUCUUCUGUGAGAACCCUGCUCAGACAGGGCAGUUGUACUCAUGAAAACAUAUUUGUGGUAUCUAGCUGCUAACCUUAUUCUAGGAAAUACUUGGAUUUAAUAGUAACUCGAGAGAGGUUGGGCCUGCCACAUUGCUUGGUAUCAGCAUGUGGCCAACCAGAUACCACCUUCCCCAGAAGGCCCAAGCCACAGAACCCUGACAAGCAUUUUCCUGGGUGGUUCCUGAUUCUGCUUCAAGAAGAUCAAAGGAGAAACUGCAUCUUCUAAAUAUCUGUGGCUCCCUAGGGAAGCGAGAGCUGCCAUUUCAAAGGGCUUCAGGGGCUCUGCUCUCUGCUCUCCGGUUCUCACUCCAGUGUGUCUUUCCCCUGAGGCUACAUUCCCUGCUGGGAUACUUUGGCCUCUGGAUUAUGGGGGAGUACUGACCGAACCCCAAGAUCCUCACGUUCUCAGGCACUGCAUGGGACAUCUCUUUGACAUACGGCCCUAACGAUGGCUGGACUUCCUGCUAGCCUUUUCUUGUGGAUGCAGGGUCUCACUUUGUCACCCAGGCUGGAGGGCAGUGAUGCAAUCAUAGUUCACUGCAGCCUUGAGCUCCUAAGCUUAAGCCAUCCUCCUACCUCAGCCUCCUGAGUAGCUGGGACUACAGGUAUGUGUGCUAUCACACCUGACUAAGUUUUUAAAAUUUUUUUGUAGAGACAGAGUCCCACUAUGAUACUCAGGCUAGUUUGCUGGCCUUUUCAUAAAAGAACAAAGAACUGUCAUCCUCAGCUUAGCAACGUAAACCUCCAUCCAUGAAAAACACCUGCUGAUAGCUAGUCAUUUGAAGAGAUAGAGCAUUUCUUAAAAUGGUACAUGAGAAGGUUUGCAGAGCAAUUGUCUAGAAUCCUUCUGGUCUUGCUAACACUGCCAGCCGAGUGAGCUUCCUCAGUGAAUCAGAGUAGAACCCUGCAUUGACGCGUUUCUAACCACUUGGACCAGCUGCAGCUCAUACUGCCCUCAUCUCCCCAAAGAGUGUUCCACGCAGUAAAUAGUAGAUUGGUGCCAAAGUAAUUGCGGUUGUUGCCAUUUUAAUUACCAACUUGAUACUUGCAUGAAACAGCUUCCAAGGCACUUUCUAGGGCCUCAUUAUAGAGAGGUAAGUGUUGGGGGCAAAGGAAUUCACUGUGUGCCCGUAGGAGUUUAAUGUCUUUUUUAAGCCAGGAAUGGAGAAGUGUGACAAACGUACAGACCGUAAGAGCCACAGACCACCUCAUUAAAUGUCAGAGCCAUUUCCCAGGUUGGGGAGAAGUGAAAAUCCUCAAAGAAAACCCACCUCAUCAAUUAAUGAAGAUGUUUUUCAAAUGUGGUAAAUGUUCAAGAGACAUUUCUAAUAGACACAGAGCAUUCACCAGAGGACUUAAAGGAUAAAAGCCCCAGAUUUCUCGUGGGAUGUGGAGGGAGGGGGCGGUGAGAAGGAAGAGGUUUCUCUACAUGGUGUACUCCGUUGUCAAGAAGCAGCUGGUUUGUGAUUUCAGGGUUCAGAUGAUUUUCAGUGGCUUCUCCCUUCUUUUCAAGGACCUUUCUGUCGUGGUAGGUAUUGCUUACUCUUCUAGAGCCACCAUUAGGAUUGUUGUGUGGUUAAAAGAGAAUCCACCAGGCACAGUGAUGUGCACCCGUAGUCCCAGCUACUUUGGAGGUUGAGAGGUGGGAGGAUUACUUGGGCCCAGGAGUUUGAGGCUGCAGUGAACUAUGGUCUUGCGCUGCACUCCGGCCUGGGUAACAUAGCAAGACCUUAUCUCAAACAAAAAAGUUUUUUAAAAGAAUGUAAUAAGUGUACAGCCUCACCUACCCUUUACUGAACAGCAUGUAUUGCUCUUACUUGUUAAACAUUAUAAACAGCAAUUCUUAGGUUCCACUGCAAGGGUGAGACAAACUGAAGCCUGCCUACGUAUGUUUAAGGCAAAAGAAAAACAGAAUUCAUUAAAAAAAAAAUUGUAAAAGCUCGGCACAGUACUACAUGCCUGUUAUCCCAGCUACUUGGGAGGCUAAGGUGGGAGGCUCCCUUGAGCCCAGGAGUUCAAGGCCAGCCUGGUAAACCUAGCGAGACCCUCUCUCAGACAAAAAAAACAAUCACAGCCAAAGAGAAUCCACAAAAAGCUUAUGCUUCAGUGCCUGACACACAGCAAGCAUUUGAGGGUAUUUGCUGCCUUAUGUUAUUUAAAAUAUCACUGCUUGGGGAAAGCUCUAUACACAGACUGCAUGGCAAGGGGUUCCACAGAUGUUAACUUGUGUCUGGGCCAGCAGAGGUGGGGGGCAUUGUGUUGCACUUCUA